AGCGAACGCUGGCGGCAGGCUUGACACAUGCAAGUCGAACGGGCAUCUUCGGAUGUCAGUGGCAGACGGGUGAGUAACACGUGGGAACGUACCCUUCGGUUCGGAAUAACUCAGGGAAACUUGAGCUAAUACCGGAUACGCCCUUUUGGGGAAAGGUUUACUGCCGAAGGAUCGGCCCGCGUCUGAUUAGCUUGUUGGUGGGGUAACGGCCUACCAAGGCGACGAUCAGUAGCUGGUCUGAGAGGAUGAUCAGCCACACUGGGACUGAGACACGGCCCAGACUCCUACGGGAGGCAGCAGUGGGGAAUAUUGGACAAUGGGCGCAAGCCUGAUCCAGCCAUGCCGCGUGAGUGAUGAAGGCCUUAGGGUUGUAAAGCUCUUUUGUCCGGGACGAUAAUGACGGUACCGGAAGAAUAAGCCCCGGCUAACUUCGUG
RNAcentral lists this ribosomal RNA (435 nucleotides) under uncultured bacterium. RNAcentral describes it as "partial 16S ribosomal RNA". It matches the Rfam family "Bacterial small subunit ribosomal RNA", at positions 29 to 507 of the family's 1533-position model. The record is from RNAcentral.